CUCACUAAAUAUAUGAUUUCAG
Molecule: non-coding RNA, 22 nt
Filed under: Arabidopsis thaliana (thale cress)
Lineage: Eukaryota; Viridiplantae; Streptophyta; Magnoliopsida; Brassicales; Brassicaceae
Source: RNAcentral